ACUCAAAUGAAUAGACGGGGGCCCGCACAAGCAGCGGAGCAUGUGGUUUAAUUCGACGCAACGCGAAGAACCUUACCUGGGCUUGACAUGUUGCGGUAAGCCGUGGAAACACGGCCCUCCUUAGGGACCGCAUCACAGGUGGUGCAUGGCUGUCGUCAGCUCGUGUCGUGAGAUGUUGGGUUAAGUCCCGCAACGAGCGCAACCCCCGUCGUAUGUUGCCAGCAUUUAGUUGGGGACUCAUGCGAGACUGCCGGUGACAAACCGGAGGAAGGUGGGGAUGACGUCAAGUCAUCAUGCCCCUUAUGUCCAGGGCUACACACGUGCUACAUUGGCGCGUACAGAGGGUUGCGAUACCGCGAGGUGGAGCGAAUCCCUCAAAGCGCGUCUCGGUUCGGAUUGCAGGCUGAAACUCGCCUGCAUGAAGGCGGAGUUGCUAGUAAUCGCGGAUCAGCACUGCCGCGGUGAAUACGUUCCCGGGCCUUGCACACACCGCCCGU
This 497-nucleotide ribosomal RNA is filed under the name uncultured bacterium. Its description in RNAcentral is "partial 16S ribosomal RNA". It matches the Rfam family "Bacterial small subunit ribosomal RNA", at positions 899 to 1397 of the family's 1533-position model. The record is from RNAcentral.